CGUCAGAGGGGCGAAGGUCAGGACAUGGGAAAUUUCCAGGAUUGUGCCAUCUUUUUAGAGAUGGUGUUCGGGGAGGUUGCAGGAUGGAGCCAGUGGCGUCACUCCUGUGUUCUUUAUUUAGCGGGCCUUCUUGAAGUCUAUGGUUCGGGAUGACCCAGAGGAAGAGCUUUUUCCCAGCGAGCAUUCUUGCCCGCCAGUUAACACGAGGACUAAUGAGAGGAACAUGGAGUGGAAAAUGUUGGACAACAGGAAACAAAUAACACACGCUCAUCGCACAAGUUGUGAACCGGGCGCUGCAAUGUCACACUUGCAAGCAGCCGUUUGCUAACGGUGGGAAGUAACCAACUACAAAUACUUCAGCGGAUCUUCAGGUGUCUGUACUUGCUGAAUUUAUUUUUUGUCACUACUUUUUACUUUUACUCCCUGCAUUUGACAACAGAUAUCUAUACUUUUAGUUAAGGAGUUGAAUCAGUACUAAGUUGAAAGUUUUUUUUUUCACACAACUAUAUGUACUUCUCCUUUAGUAGAGUGUGAGUACUACCACUGCUAAUGAUGCACGUAAAGAUGUUUAACUUCCCUG
This is a long non-coding RNA of Hippocampus comes (tiger tail seahorse), 580 nucleotides long. RefSeq lists it as uncharacterized. Lineage: Eukaryota; Metazoa; Chordata; Actinopteri; Syngnathiformes; Syngnathidae. The record is from RefSeq and is a predicted model, not a curated record. The transcript is spliced from 2 exons.